This is an RNA transcript of Nycticebus coucang (slow loris), 1997 nucleotides long. It is a transcript of the gene named heterogeneous nuclear ribonucleoprotein K-like, with no coding region annotated. The record is from RefSeq and is a predicted model, not a curated record. The transcript has 3 exons. NCBI's taxonomy places the organism in Eukaryota, Metazoa, Chordata, Mammalia, Primates, Lorisidae.
AUGGACCAGUCAGCCAUGCACGCCUACCAUCUUGGGGCCCCGUCUUCUCUGGGGCAGCUAGUGAGUGCGCUAACGAGGAAGGAGGAGGGCACCCCAGGCGACAGCACUGUGGACGCCAUUAUCCUCUGCUUCUCUACUGCACCGACCUCGACGUCUUGCCUGUGUCCCAUUGAAAAUGGAAACCAACAGCCAGAGGAAACCUUCCCCAACACUGAAACCAAUGGUGAAUUUGGUGAGCGUCCCGUAGAAGAUAUGGAAGAAGAACAAGCAUUUAAAAGGUCUAGAAACACUGACGAGAUGGUUGAAUUACGCAUUCUGCUUCAGAGCAAGAAUGCUGGGGCAGUGAUUGGAAAAGGAGGCAAGAAUAUUAAGGCUCUCCGUACUGACUACAAUGCCAGAGUUCCAGUCCCAGACAGCAGUGGCCCCAAGUGCAUAUUGAGCAUCAGUGCUGAUAUUGAAACAAUUGGAGAAAUUCUGAAGAAAAUCAUCCCUACCUUGGAAGAGGGCCUGCAGUUGCCAUCACUCACUGCAACCAGCCAGCUCCGGCUCGAAUCUGAUGCUAUGGAAUGCUUAAAUUACCAGCACUAUAAAGGAAGUGACUUUGUGAGUUGAGACUGUUGAUUCAUCAGAGUCUGGCAGGAGGAAUUAUUGGGGUGAAAGGUGCUAAAAUCAAAGAACUUCAAGAGAACACUCAAACAACAAUCAAGCUGUUCCAGGAAUGCUGUCCUCAUUCCACUGACAGAGUCGUUCUUAUUGGAGGAAAACCUGAUAGGGUUGUAGAGUGCAUAAAGAUCAUCUGAGUCUCCCAUCAAAGGACGUGCACAGCCUUGUGAUCCCAAUUUUUAUGAUGAAGCAUAUGACUAUGGUGGUUUUACAAUGAUGUUUGAUGACCGCCAUGGACGGCCCGUGGGAUUCCCAAGGCAAGGAAGAGGUGGUUUUGACAGAAUGCCUGCUGGUCAGGGUGGGCGUCCCAUGCCUCCAUCCAGAAGAGAUUAUGAUGACAUGAGCUCUUGUAGAGACCACCUCCCCCUCCACCUGGACAAGGAGGCCAGGGUGGUAGCAGAGCUUGGAAUCUCCCUCUUCCUCCACCACCACCACCUAGAGGAGGAGAUCUAAUGGCCUAUGACAGAAGAGGAAGACCUGGAGACCCUUACGAUGGAAUGGUUGGUUUCAGUGCCGAUGAAUCUUGGGAUUCUGCAAUAGAUACAUGGAGCCCAUCAGAAUGGCAGAUGGCUUAUGAACCACAGGGUGGCUCCGGAUAUGAUUAUUCCUAUGCAGGGGGUCGUGGCUCAUAUGGUGAUCUUGGUGGACCUACUAUUACUACACAAGUAACUAUUCCCAAAGAUUUGGCUGGAUCUAUUACUGGCAAAGGUGGUCAGCGGAUUAAACAAAUCUGUCAUGAGUCGGGAGCUUCCAUCAAAAUCGAUGAGCCUUUAGAAGGAUCCAAAGAUCGGAUCAUUACCAUUACAGGAACACAGGACCAGAUACAGAAUGCACAGUAUUUACUGCAGAACAGUGUGAAGCAGUAUUCUGGAAAGACUAUUUCUAAGACUAGUGAAGAACUGAAGAAGUCCUGCAUCUUUUUUUUUUUUUAUCUGCUUCUGUUUAAAAAGCCAACAUUCCUCUGCUUCACAGGUGUUCUGCAUUUGAGGUGUAGUGAAAUCUUUGCUGUUCACCAGAUGUAAUGUUUUAGUUCCUUACAAACAGGGUUGUGGGGGGGAGGAUGUGCAAAAACUAACAUUAAAAUUUUGAAACAGCAGCAGAGUGAGUGAAUUUUAUUUUUUGUUCAUUGUUGGUGGUUUAAAAAAGUUCCCCCCAUGUAAUAAUUGUGAACACCUUGCUUUGUGGUCACUGUAACAUUUGGGGGGUGGGACAGGGAGGAAAAGUAACAAUAGUCCACAUGUCCCUGGCAUCUGUUCAGAGGAGUGUGCAGAAUGUUAUGCUCUCUUGUAAGAAACGUUUUAUGAUUUUUAAAAUAAAUUUAGUGAACCUAAAAA